This is a long non-coding RNA of Eleginops maclovinus (Patagonian blennie), 2188 nucleotides long. RefSeq lists it as uncharacterized. The record is from RefSeq and is a predicted model, not a curated record. NCBI's taxonomy places the organism in Eukaryota, Metazoa, Chordata, Actinopteri, Perciformes, Eleginopidae. The transcript is spliced from 3 exons.
ACGCACACACACACACACACACACAAAUCAUUUCAGAUAAGUGCUCUGUGUGACACGUCGCUCCCUGUAAGGUUGGCGCACGCUCAAUGGGACACAUACAGAAUCUCUUACAUGCACAAAAACAAUAACACACUUCCCUAAAAUGCAGAAUAAGGCCUGUUUAAAUUCAAAUACCCCCCGUGUUCCUCCUCCUGAUCUCUCACCUGGUAGUUGUCGGUGGCGUCUCCCAGCAGCCCUCCGAAGGUGAUGGCGUUGGUGAUGCAGCCCAGGUAGAUGAAGAGCACGGCGGAGAUGGACUGGAUGUGGAAACCCUCGUAGAUAUCGCUCGGCAGAAACGGCAACUUCCUCUUAAUGUCCAGGGAAACUCUAUGAAUGUGUUCGAUGGAGCAGCUGUUUCUUACCUGGUGGGAACGGGGACCUCGGUGAGACCUCCGAGCGUCGUAGCCUGGGCCAAACGCACGAACGCUACGAAGGGUUUGUCCAGGAAAUCUACUUCACCCACCAAGACGUUGGAGGCCUCGGCGUCUCGUGGGAUUUUCUUCAUGAAUUUGUUCUUCAGCUGCAGGAAAAGAUGAUUCUAGACGAUUCCAAAAGCUGCAGACGUAUGAAACUCACUGUUGGAAGAGCUGGACUUCCCGAUGUCGGCGAGCGAGCGAUGGAUCGGCUUCUUGGUUUGAUGGCGAUGUUUCCUGAGCAGGACAAAGGUGAUCCUGUCCCUCAGGUCCGGAGAUAUCAUGCCUUCCUCGAUCUGUCUCUCAAGGAUUUCGUCUGGAAACAGGAACAGGACAUUUGACGUAAAAUUGGGAACGGACUCCUGAAUUUGGGUAACAGACAGACUGCUGCUAACUGUAGAAACAAUCCGACGGGGAAUUAAAUAACAAAUAGAAACACAAACAAAGAUCAUCAUCCUCCAAAUACUGAAAUUUGAAUAAUAAUUCAGAUUUCUGGGAAAUAGUGCAUUCAAUAUUUUGCUUAUUUUGGACAUUUUUUAACAGAAAUAACAGCUCAAUUAUUUCAGAUUUUACGAUACUUAGAGAAAUCAGACAAGGUCCUAUGGGUGUAUUUACUUUAGAGAGCCCCAGCAUGAUGGGAAAUCAAACUGAAAAGAGGUCAAACAUCUUAAUCUGAAUACCCCAAAGGACAGCUAAAGGCAACAGGACCGACUUCAGAGCCCAUACAUUCAACAUGUAGCCAUGCAGUGGGAAAUUGAGGAUAACUCCACUGGGAUACUGGGAAAACUAAAUGUCGUCAUUGAUUUUUUUCCUAUACAUCAUAUCAUUGAUUUGGUGACGGGUCCAUACUGACGCAUCAGCAGCUUCCGCUUUGACGAGUGGUAUCAGAUAAGUGAAAAAACAUGAGUUGGGAGAGAGAGUCACGCUGCUUCAAUAACUCACCAAUGGGAAAGCAUACGCUGCUACGGGACGAAGGGGAAAUAGCUCAUUUGGUUUAGCCAACUAAAGCUACCAAGCAAAGACACCGGGAUGCUACUUUCUCUCGACUUAAUGUCCCGAUAAGUUCUGUCGCUGAGAGGCGAGAACGUGGCUCAUCACUCUGACGCUCUGCAAGAAGAGUCCGUGCUGAAGCUGUGGCUGAUCGUGGUGUUAAAUAAUAAAGUGUGGUGUAUUCAAUCUGGAGAUAUAUCAGGGCAGAUACUCCCUGAGGCCAGAGGAAGGUUGGGUGGAAGAAGAGGGAAAAACAACAUCUGGAAUACGUUAAAGAUGCCCUAGGUCACCGAGUGGGGCGUACAAAGUUAGGGCCUAGGUGGUAUAGUAAAUCAGUUCAGAUACAGUUGUUUACUCUCUGAGGUCAUAGAGGGUGCAGAGAGUGAUGUGGUACAACAGGAGGUUGUAUAACAAACCUCUGGACUACGUCAGAAGAACCUCCAGGGAUGAGCAAGGCAAAGACUAACGUAUAGAUCACCUUAUGUGGGUACCCGCAAGACAUGGUGUACGAACGUAUAGCGCACCUUAUGUGGGUACACAUCCUCAUGGAACAUCCAGACACACACACACACACACACACACACCCAUAUUUCUCCUAUAAAGUGUAUGUACAAAGACUGUUCGGGGGACUUCCACAAUUGGCUCUGGGAACCCCGCAUCGCCCGUGUUGGUGUCUGAUACUAUGCUGUUGUAAUAAACCUUAUUAUAUACAAGCUGGUGUCUCCGGAGACUUCUUCAUCAUCUUC